This 274-nucleotide ribosomal RNA is filed under the name uncultured bacterium. RNAcentral describes it as "partial 16S ribosomal RNA". It matches the Rfam family "Bacterial small subunit ribosomal RNA", at positions 523 to 796 of the family's 1533-position model. The record is from RNAcentral.
AUACGAAGGGGGCUAGCGUUGUUCGGAAUUACUGGGCGUAAAGCGCGCGUAGGCGGACUGAUCAGUUGGGGGUGAAAUCCCAGGGCUUAACCCUGGAACUGCCUCCAAUACUGUCAGUCUCGAGUUCGGGAGAGGUGAGUGGAAUUCCUAGUGUAGAGGUGAAAUUCGUAGAUAUUGGGAAGAACACCAGUGGCGAAGGCGGCUCACUGGCCCGAUACUGACGCUGAGGCGCGAAAGCGUGGGGAGCAAACAGGAUUAGAAACCCCAGUAGUCC